AUUGAACGCUGGCGGCAUGCCUUACACAUGCAAAUCGAACGGUAACGGGCCUUCGGGUGCCGACGAGUGGCGAACGGGUGAGUAAUACAUCGGAACGUGCCCGAUCGUGGGGGAUAACGAGGCGAAAGCUUUGCUAAUACCGCAUACGAUCUACGGAUGAAAGCAGGGGACCGCAAGGCCUUGCGCGGACGGAGCGGCCGAUGGCAGAUUAGGUAGUUGGUGGGAUAAAAGCUUACCAAGCCGACGAUCUGUAGCUGGUCUGAGAGGAUGAUCAGCCACACUGGGACUGAGACACGGCCCAGACUCCUACGGGAGGCAGCAGUGGGGAAUUUUGGACAAUGGACGCAAGCCUGAUCCAGCCAUGCCGCGUGCAGGAUGAAGGCCUUCGGGUUGUAAACUGAUUUUGUACGGAACGAAAAGCCUUCUUUUAAUACAGGAGGGUCAUGACGGUACCGUAAGAAUAAGCACCGGCUAACUACGUG
RNAcentral lists this ribosomal RNA (482 nucleotides) under uncultured bacterium. RNAcentral's name for it is "partial 16S ribosomal RNA". It matches the Rfam family "Bacterial small subunit ribosomal RNA", at positions 30 to 507 of the family's 1533-position model. The record is from RNAcentral.